UACAGAGGGGGCAAGCGUUAUUCGGAAUUAUUGGGCGUAAAGGGCGCGUAGGCGGCCUGGCAAGUGACGGGUGAAAGCCCUCGGCUUAACCGAGGAACUGCCUGUCAGACUGUUAGGCUUGAGACCAGGAGAGGUGAGUGGAAUUCCGAGUGUAGAGGUGAAAUUCGUAGAUAUUCGGAAGAACACCAGUGGCGAAGGCGGCUCACUGGACUGGUAUUGACGCUGAGGUGCGAAAGCGUGGGGAGCAAACAGG
This 253-nucleotide ribosomal RNA is filed under the name uncultured bacterium. RNAcentral's name for it is "partial 16S ribosomal RNA". It matches the Rfam family "Bacterial small subunit ribosomal RNA", at positions 524 to 776 of the family's 1533-position model. The record is from RNAcentral.